UGAGUACAACAUCCGGGUGCUUUGAGUGCACUGCAUUUUGCCGUACUUCCCAGUGUGAACGCACUUAUGCACUCAAAGUAGUGAGUGUUAGUACAGAAGUACGCGGAUUGGAACACACUGUAACACUAACAGUGGCUACUGUAGGUCCCGCUGCUGAUAACCGUGCUUCAAUGUACUGACAGCCGGUGGAGAGCAGUCAGUCAGCGGGCCGAGCCUCGCUCCUCUGCGGGCAGCGUGACUCUGGCGGGGGGGGAGAAGGUUGUCGGCGAAUACGAGCGGGCGGUCGGUUAUACAGUUGGUGGGAGGGGUUGCAUGAAUUAAUACGACGUUUAGAACAGUGUGUGAGUGUGUGAGUGUGUGUGUGUUGUGUGUGAGACAAAGAGAGCUUGUGUGUGUGAAGGUAAACGCAGGUUAUUUGCGCGCGACACAGUUGAGUAGAACCUGUGUUAAUCAUGUUAGUUUCUCUCAUCCUCUCUCUCCUCACAUACAUAAGCUAAGUGUUCAAAUGAAUGAUGUAACGUUCUUAAAGUCAGACUCAAACUGGAUUUAAAAAUAUUUCCAGCUUGCCAUUGUGUCCAACAUUUUGUCAUAUUACAGAAAAUACUUCAAAGUUAAUGUCUGUUGGAUCUUUGCUUUGUGCUUUUGUUAUAUUUGUUUGUGGUCUUUUAGGAAAUUGAGUUAAUCCACUGAGUUCACCUCACUGAUUCUAAAUAUUCUCUUUCAUAGGUCCAUCAUCCUAUUUGCACAGAAUUUGAGUAAACAGCUUUGAGGAUGGGGACUGCUGUGAUCCUUAAGAUCAUCUUGACUGAUGGCAGCUGUCAGAGGUUGACUCUCUCCCCUGGACUCCCUGCAUCCAUUGAUGACCUCAUCGUUGAAGUGAAGAAACAGUGUGGACUUCAGGGAAAUUUUGGAUUUCAAUUUAUGGAUUCCUUGUUUGGAAAUGAGUUCCUUAACCUCACCUCAGUUUCAGAAGUAGAAGACAAAGGUACUCUUAAAGUCAUUGAUAUGUCAAGGCCCACCACUAUUCAGCAUGAUGAUGAGAGGUCCACUGUUUUCAAUCCAGUCCUAAGACCCCAAGCAUUCAGUCCUUCCUCUGUAAAUGACUCUUCGUCCCUGUCAGAUGGAUCUGUGGAUACAGAUAUACUGUCAUCGAGGCAUGGAUGAAAACGCCGUCAAGGAGGCCAUUGAAGAUACCACUGUUGGGAUUUAUGUUCUUAAAGAACAUGCUUCAGGUGACGAACCUGAGGACAUUGGAAUUGUCCUUGAAGGCAUCAAAGUGUUGCAAGAUCUGGAUAAUGUAGCAUUAGCUGUUGCUCUGCUGUUCGGACUUAUGUUUGCCCUGAACCUCAGCUACCAUGCUGACCUCCGCUUCACCUUUGAAGUAGUCCAAAAGAUUUUCAUGGAACUAGAUGGAGGUAAACUUUCUAACAAAGCACUCACUCUGAAAAACAGGCUCUUUCAGUGAAAGGGUCAGAGACACUGCACUGCCAGCAAAAAAACUAAAAACCAAAGGACAUUUGAAUUGUCUUCCAUAGCAUCUCGGGUAUACCAUGUGGACAGCUUUUUCAUUUUCUUUUGUGAAUCCACUGUUGUAAGUUGACACUAUUUUCUUUUAUGAAUCAUUAUUCAAUUGUUACAUCAAUUCUGAUAGUUGUAUUAUCACUCUUUCCAUCCACCACUAUUGGUUUUGUGUUAUCAGUCCUACUUGUAUUAGCUAUUACAGCUGCUAGGCUAUUAUUGUGGCUUCUUCUCUCUCUCUCUCUCU
Sebastes umbrosus (honeycomb rockfish) is the source of this 1765-nucleotide long non-coding RNA. RefSeq lists it as uncharacterized. The transcript is spliced from 3 exons. Lineage: Eukaryota; Metazoa; Chordata; Actinopteri; Perciformes; Sebastidae. The record is from RefSeq and is a predicted model, not a curated record.